Molecule: long non-coding RNA, 449 nt
Organism: Olea europaea var. sylvestris
Lineage: Eukaryota; Viridiplantae; Streptophyta; Magnoliopsida; Lamiales; Oleaceae
Exons: 2
Source: RefSeq, a predicted model, not a curated record
GUGUACUUCUUUCAAUGCAGGAUUUGCUGGAUAUGUUGAUGAAGCUAAGAAAUGAAUUCCAUUACUGCCUUUUUUGUGGAUGUCAGUACGAGUCAAUGGAAGCCCUGUUAUCCAACUGUCCUGGAAUAAAUGAAGACGAGCACUAGAUUAUAUGCCCCGGAUCAGAAGUCCAGGAGUCGCAUUUGAACUCGGUCGACAUCAUAAUUCCCAGAACGACCAGAAGCCGCAAUGCAAAUAGCACAUCGUUGAAGUGGAAAAGAAUUUUCUGUCUUGUCUAUAUACCAAAUAUCAACAGAUGCAUUAAAAAUCCAAGUUACCUUUUUCUUCAUUAUUGUAUCUUAUGCGAAAACUGGAGUCGUUCUGUAAAAUUAUUACGAGUUCAUUGCCUAUUAGAAGGCUCUAUUGUGAACUCAUCAAGAAUAGAAAAGGGAUUGCAGUCAUUUUGAUUA